UCUACGAUUUCCGAAUGGGGAAACCCACUGGCAUAAGCCAGUAUCAUUGAGUGAAUACAUAGCUCAAUGAAGCGAACCGGGAGAACUGAAACAUCUAAGUACCCCGAGGAAAAGAAAUCAACCGAGAUUCCGAAAGUAGCGGCGAGCGAAAUUGGAUUAGCCCUUAAGCUUUACAUGUGUUAGACGAACGGUCUGGAAAGUCCGACGAUACAGGGUGAUAGUCCCGUAGUUGUAGAUGCAUGUUCAGUGAAAUCGAGUAGGGCGGGACACGUGUUAUCCUGUCUGAAUAUGGGGGGACCAUCCUCCAAGGCUAAAUACUCCUGACUGACCGAUAGUGAACCAGUACCGUGAGGGAAAGGCGAAAAGAACCCCUGUGAGGGGAGUGAAAUAGAACCUGAAACCGUGUACGUACAAGCAGUAGGAGCACCUUCGUGGUGUGACUGCGUACCUUUUGUAUAAUGGGUCAGCGACUUAUAUUCAGUGGCAAGGUUAACCAUCUAGGGGAGCCGUAGGGAAACCGAGUCUUAACUGGGCGCCAUAGUCUCUGGAUAUAGACCCGAAACCGAGUGAUCUAGCCAUGGGCAGGUUGAAGGUUGAGUAACAUCAACUGGAGGACCGAACCGACUAAUGUUGAAAAAUUAGCGGAUGACUUGUGGCUAGGGGUGAAAGGCCAAUCAAACUCGGAGAUAGCUGGUUCUCCCCGAAAGCUAUUUAGGUAGCGCCUCGGACGAAUACUACUGGGGGUAGAGCACUGUUAAGGCUAGGGGGUCAUCCCGACUUACCAACCCUUUGCAAACUCCGAAUACCAGUAAGUACUAUCCGGGAGACACACGGCGGGUGCUAACGUCCGUCGUGGAGAGGGAAACAACCCAGACCGCCAGCUAAGGUCCCAAAUUACAGCUAAGUGGGAAACGAUGUGGGAAGGCUUAGACAGCUAGGAUGUUGGCUUAGAAGCAGCCAUCAUUUAAAGAAAGCGUAAUAGCUCACUAGUCGAGUCGGCCUGCGCGGAAGAUGUAACGGGGCUAAGUUGUAAACCGAAGCUGCGGCAAUGUUCUUUGAACAUUGGGUAGGGGAGCGUUCUGUAAGCCGUUGAAGGUGUGUUGUAAAGCAUGCUGGAGGUAUCAGAAGUGCGAAUGCUGACAUGAGUAACGACAAGGGGGGUGAAAAACCUCCCCGCCGGAAGACCAAGGGUUCCUGUCCAACGUUAAUCGGGGCAGGGUAAGUCGACCCCUAAGGCGAGGCCGAAAGGCGUAGUCGAUGGGAAACGGGUUAAUAUUCCCGUACUUCUUACAAUUGCGAUGGGGGGACGGAGAAGGCUAGGUGGGCCUGGCGACGGUUGUCCAGGUUCAAGUGCGUAGGCU
RNAcentral lists this ribosomal RNA (1361 nucleotides) under Vibrio vulnificus. Its description in RNAcentral is "partial 23S ribosomal RNA". It matches the Rfam family "Bacterial large subunit ribosomal RNA", at positions 104 to 1526 of the family's 2925-position model. Lineage: Bacteria; Pseudomonadati; Pseudomonadota; Gammaproteobacteria; Vibrionales; Vibrionaceae. The record is from RNAcentral.